GUCAUAUAGCAUUGUCAACAAGAUGAACCAUGCAUUGUUCUAAGAUAUGACAAAUUAUGCACGUGUGAAAACUGCGAUGGCUCAUUAAAUCAGUUAUAGUAAGAUCUAUAUGAUACCUGCAUACAUGGAUGAUCACUGUGGUAAUUCUAAGAGCUAAUACAUGCAUACAAGCCCCAACUUCUGGAACGUGAAUUGGCUAGAGAUAAGAAAAGACCAUCACGCGUCCAUUUGACCGCCGCUCCACUUUGUGAUUCAAAAUAACUUCUCGAUCGCAAUGCCUUGUGCGGCGAUGCUUCAUUCAAUAUCUGCCCUACAACUUUCGAUGGUAGGAUAGAGCACCAUCUGGUUUCAACGGGUAACGGGAAUAAGGCAAAUUCGAAUGUCGGAAGAGGGAGCCUGAGAAACACCUACCACAUCCAAGGAAGGCACAGGCGCGCAAAUUACCCAAUCCCGACACGAGAGCGGAGGUAGUGACAAAAAACGCACAAUUAUAAGAAGGGCCCUCAUCUCGGGAUACUUAUAAGUAUGCAAUGAGAUAUCCAUAGUUAUAAAAUCCUAACAGGAAUACAAUUGGAGCAAGCUGGUGCCAGCCAGCCCGAAUUCCAGCACAAUAGCGUAUAU
This 621-nucleotide non-coding RNA is filed under the name Lentinula edodes (shiitake mushroom). Its description in RNAcentral is "Eukaryotic small subunit ribosomal RNA". It matches the Rfam family "Eukaryotic small subunit ribosomal RNA", at positions 23 to 604 of the family's 1831-position model. Lineage: Eukaryota; Fungi; Basidiomycota; Agaricomycetes; Agaricales; Omphalotaceae. The record is from Rfam by way of RNAcentral.